GGACAGAGUAGAAGCGUUCAGCCCGGCCCCGUCCGCGGUGGGAAAUUGCUCUUUCA
Molecule: non-coding RNA, 56 nt
Filed under: Variovorax sp.
Lineage: Bacteria; Pseudomonadati; Pseudomonadota; Betaproteobacteria; Burkholderiales; Comamonadaceae
Description: Xanthine-I sequence
Rfam family: Xanthine riboswitch aptamer (NMT1 RNA)
About the family: Later it was reported as a ncRNA that recognised Xanthine.
Source: RNAcentral